Molecule: ribosomal RNA, 640 nt
Filed under: Actinomycetales bacterium A213
Lineage: Bacteria; Bacillati; Actinomycetota; Actinomycetes; Actinomycetales
Description: bacterial SSU rRNA
Rfam family: Bacterial small subunit ribosomal RNA
Source: RNAcentral
CGGGUGGGCGUGCAUAACCAUGCAGUCGAACGAUGAAGCCCUUCGGGGUGGAUUAGUGGCGAACGGGUGAGUAACACGUGGGCAAUCUGCCCUUCACUCUGGGACAAGCCCUGGAAACGGGGUCUAAUACCGGAUAAUACCUGCCUGGGCAUCUGGGUGGGUUGAAAGCUCCGGCGGUGAAGGAUGAGCCCGCGGCCUAUCAGCUUGUUGGUGAGGUAGUGGCUCACCAAGGCGACGACGGGUAGCCGGCCUGAGAGGGCGACCGGCCACACUGGGACUGAGACACGGCCCAGACUCCUACGGGAGGCAGCAGUGGGGAAUAUUGCACAAUGGGCGAAAGCCUGAUGCAGCGACGCCGCGUGAGGGAUGACGGCCUUCGGGUUGUAAACCUCUUUCAGCAGGGAAGAAGCGAGAGUGACGGUACCUGCAGAAGAAGCGCCGGCUAACUACGUGCCAGCAGCCGCGGUAAUACGUAGGGCGCAAGCGUUGUCCGGAAUUAUUGGGCGUAAAGAGCUCGUAGGCGGCUUGUCACGUCGGGUGUGAAAGCCCGGGGCUUAACCCCGGGUCUGCAUUCGAUACGGGCUAGCUAGAGUGUGGUAGGGGAGAUCGGAAUUCCUGGUGUAGCGGUGAAAAUGCGCAA